Molecule: ribosomal RNA, 430 nt
Filed under: uncultured bacterium
Lineage: Bacteria
Description: bacterial SSU rRNA
Rfam family: Bacterial small subunit ribosomal RNA
Source: RNAcentral
UCGGGAAUCUUGGACAAUGGGGGCAACCCUGAUCCAGCCACGCCGCGUGGGUGAUGGAGGCCUUCGGGUCGUAAAGCCCUGUCAGAGGGGAAGAAACGGUUCAAGGAUAAUACCCUUGGAUCUUGACGGUACCCUCAGAGGAAGCACCGGCUAACUACGUGCCAGCAGCCGCGGUAAGACGUAGGGUGCGAGCGUUACUCGGAAUCACUGGGCGUAAAGCGCGUGUAGGCGGUCUGGUAAGCGGGGUGUGAAAUCCCUCGGCUCAACCGAGGAGGUGCGCCCUGAACUGCCGGGCUUGAGUCCGGGAGAGGGUGGUGGAAUUCCUGGUGGAACGGUGAAAUGUGUAGAUAUCAGGAAGAACAUCGGUGGCGAAGGCGGCCGCCUGGCCCGGUACUGACGCUGGAACGCGAAAGCGUGGGUAGCAAACAGG